AUAAAACGCAACGGUUAGUGGUUGCUUUUCUAAACCCUAAUUCUAAUAGUACCCUAGUUUCAGUGACAAGGGGUUUAUGUUAUGGUUCUGCACGAUCAACAAUUUGGGAUCGGCAGGAAAUUGAAGAUUCGGAAUACAAACUGCUCUCUGCAACCUUUGGUUGGUCGUGCCUUUGGUACGGAUUUUCAACUGGAUACCGCUCCCGACGGGCCUUGUCCUUCUCCCGCACAAGUUAAUGUUAAUAAUGAUGAGGAAACAGGAGAUGGACAUGGGAAUGGUGAGUUGAGGGACAGAGUUAAUAUUAAUAGUGCUGAUGAAGUAAGAUGGUGCAGUGAAUAUUAAGUCAAGGGACAAUCCUGCAUUGGUUGACAAUAAUACUGCACAAAGUCUGACUGGUGAAGAUAUAGAAGCCAUGAGAAGUCGUACGCAGAUGACGAAAAAAAUAGACAGGGACAUCAGUACUCCAAAGGAGAAUGUUGACUGUCUAAUGGGAAUCUCUCUGAUGCGUUUCGAGUUCCAUUAUACAAUUGCAGUUGACGAUAACGCAGACAGGGACAUUGGUACUUAUGCUAAGGAUGGUGGUUUGUCUUUGGGACUCUCUCCGAUGCAUAAUGAAUUGUCAUGGUUGAUUGUUAGCCAAGUUAACUUUUGUUGAUCCAAUGUGUUCUAAAAUUAAUAUUUAUAACUUUUAUUAACUGAUGAGGAAUUUUAUCAAACAUUUAAUUUUGUAUAACCCCAUCUUGGGGUAGCGUGCUCUAAAUGUUGUGUUGGUAAGUGUAUGUGUAAUAUUGAUAAUUGAUGCUUCUAGUAUUGGUUUGGCCAAUGUUGUAUCAUUUUGCACGUAUUGUCAGAUCUGUUUAUGAUGAUAUCUUAAUUGUCACUACCUCUGAGGCCA
Molecule: long non-coding RNA, 895 nt
Organism: Vigna angularis (adzuki bean)
Lineage: Eukaryota; Viridiplantae; Streptophyta; Magnoliopsida; Fabales; Fabaceae
Exons: 3
Source: RefSeq, a predicted model, not a curated record